RNAcentral lists this ribosomal RNA (750 nucleotides) under uncultured crenarchaeote. Its description in RNAcentral is "SSU rRNA". It matches the Rfam family "Archaeal small subunit ribosomal RNA", at positions 147 to 881 of the family's 1478-position model. The record is from RNAcentral. Lineage: Archaea; Thermoproteati; Thermoproteota.
UAACUCUUGAUAGGUGAAGAACUCUGAAAUGAGUCUUUGCCUAAAAAGAUUCACGUUAUCCUUCGUGAACCUGCCUAAGGAUGAGGCCGCGACCGAUCAGGUUGUUGGCGAGGUAAUGGCUCACCAAGCCUUUUACCGGUGCGGGCCGUGGGAGCGGGAGCCCGGAGAUGGGUACUGAGACAAGGACCCAGGCCCUACGGGGCGCAGCAGUCGCGAAACCUUUGCAAUACACGAAAGUGUGACAGGGCUAUCCCGAGUGCCAUCCGCUGAGGAAGGCUUUUACCCAGUCUAGAACGCUGGGGGAAUAAGGAGAGGGCAAGUCUGGUGUCAGCCGCCGCGGUAAUACCAGCUCUCCGAGUGGUGUGGAUGUUUAUUGGGCCUAAAGCAUCCGUAGCUGGCUAGGUAAGUCCCUUGUUAAAUCCACCGAAUUAAUCGUUGGAUCGCGGGGGAUACUGCUUGGCUAGGGGACGAGAGAGGCAGACGGUAUUUUCGGGGUAGGGGUGAAAUCCUAUAAUCCCGGGAAGACCACCAGUGGCGAAGGCUGUCUGCUAGAACGCGCCCGACGGUGAGGGAUGAAAGCUGGGGGAGCGAACCGGAUUAGAUACCCGGGUAGUCCCAGCUGUAAACGAUGCAGACUAGGUGUUUGGACGGCCACGUGCCGUUCUAGUGCCGCAGGGAAGCUGUUAAGUCUGCCGCCUGGGGAGUACGAUCGCAAGAUUGAAACUUAAAGGAAUUGGCGGGGGAGCACAA